UAGGGAAUCUUCCACAAUGGGCGCAAGCCUGAUGGAGCAACACCGCGUGAGUGAAGAAGGGUUUCGGCUCGUAAAGCUCUGUUGUUAGAGAAGAACGUGCGUGAGAGCAACUGUUCACGCAGUGACGGUAUCUAACCAGAAAGUCACGGCUAACUACGUGCUAG
Molecule: ribosomal RNA, 164 nt
Filed under: uncultured bacterium
Lineage: Bacteria
Description: partial 16S rRNA
Rfam family: Bacterial small subunit ribosomal RNA
Source: RNAcentral